UAGAGGAGUGCUCGAAGAGAACCGUAACACAGGUGCUGCAUGGCUGUCGUCAGCUCGUGUCGUGAGAUGUUGGGUUAAGUCCCGCAACGAGCGCAACCCUUGUCAUUAGUUGCUACAUUCAGUUGGGCACUCUAAUGAGACUGCCGGUGACAAACCGGAGGAAGGUGGGGAUGACGUCAAGUCCUCAUGGCCCUUAUAGGUGGGGCUACACACGUCAUACAAUGGAUGGUACAAAGGGUCGCCAACCCGCGAGGGGGAGCCAAUCCCAUAAAGCCAUUCGUAGUCCGGAUCGCAGUCUGCAACUCGACUGCGUGAAGUCGGAAUCGCUAGUAAUCGUGGAUCAGAAUGUCACGGUGAAUACGUUCCCGGGUCUU
RNAcentral lists this ribosomal RNA (374 nucleotides) under uncultured Acidovorax sp. Its description in RNAcentral is "bacterial SSU rRNA". It matches the Rfam family "Bacterial small subunit ribosomal RNA", at positions 1007 to 1382 of the family's 1533-position model. Lineage: Bacteria; Pseudomonadati; Pseudomonadota; Betaproteobacteria; Burkholderiales; Comamonadaceae. The record is from RNAcentral.